RNAcentral lists this long non-coding RNA (747 nucleotides) under Homo sapiens (human). The record is from RNAcentral. Lineage: Eukaryota; Metazoa; Chordata; Mammalia; Primates; Hominidae.
GACUUCCUCUCCAAGCUGCUCCGAGGGGAAUGGGGAAUCGGCAGGAAAUGACCCGAACUGCCAGCCUGCGCCUUUGCAGCCGGCCCUCGCUUUGCUGAAGACGAGCAGCUCCCACCAAAGUCUUGCCUCCCCUUACCCCGAAAGCCCCGCUCAGGGUCUCACUCUGCCAUCACCCAGGCUGGAGUGUGGUGGCACCAUCAUGGCUCACUGCAGCCUUGAACUCCUGAGCUCAAGUCAUCCUCCCACCUCAGCCUUCCGAGUAGCUGGAACUGCAGGUGUGAGCCACCAUGCCUGGCUGAUUUGUCUUUUUAAAUUUUUUAUAGAGACCGAGUCUCAACUAUAUUGUCCAGGCUGGAAAAGAACUUCUUUCCCUCCAAGUGAUAACCUUUUCCAGACAAGUCAGCUUAAAAACUGACCCAAAGGCCCUGAAGUACACAGUUUUCUUGGAGAAAGAAAAAAAUAAGUGAAAAGGACUUGCUGACUUGCUAAUUCAUUUUGGGGCCUGUGGGUAACAUCAGAAUGGCAAAGCACUUGGGGCUUUUUUCUAAUUUGUAUUUUUUUAAUCUUCUGAGAAAUGACUUUUAUAUGCCAAGAUUCAUUCCAUGAUUAGUUUUUAUGACCAAGUUAUGAACGCUUUUGAAUAUGGGGACCUAGAAUAGAAAUGCUAACCUACCUGCAAGGAGAGCUCUGUGAUUGGCAUCCCCAUCAUGCUGUAACUGACACAAAAUAAACUUAGGGUAAUUGCCG